Molecule: ribosomal RNA, 602 nt
Filed under: Enterobacter sp. RZ3MS23
Lineage: Bacteria; Pseudomonadati; Pseudomonadota; Gammaproteobacteria; Enterobacterales; Enterobacteriaceae
Description: bacterial SSU rRNA
Rfam family: Bacterial small subunit ribosomal RNA
Source: RNAcentral
UGCAAGUCGAGCGGUAGCACAGAGAGCUUGCUCUCGGGUGACGAGCGGCGGACGGSUGAGUAAUGUCUGGGAAACUGCCUGAUGGAGGGGGAUAACUACUGGAAACGGUAGCUAAUACCGCAUAACGUCGCAAGACCAAAGUGGGGGACCUUCGGGCCUCAUGCCAUCAGAUGUGCCCAGAUGGGAUUAGCUAGUAGGUGGGGUAAUGGCUCACCUAGGCGACGAUCCCUAGCUGGUCUGAGAGGAUGACCAGCCACACUGGAACUGAGACACGGUCCAGACUCCUACGGGAGGCAGCAGUGGGGAAUAUUGCACAAUGGGCGCAAGCCUGAUGCAGCCAUGCCGCGUGUAUGAAGAAGGCCUUCGGGUUGUAAAGUACUUUCAGCGAGGAGGAAGGCRUUAAGGUUAAUAACCUURGUGAUUGACGUUACUCGCAGAAGAAGCACCGGCUAACUCCGUGCCAGCAGCCGCGGUAAUACGGAGGGUGCAAGCGUUAAUCGGAAUUACUGGGCGUAAAGCGCACGCAGGCGGUCUGUCAAGUCGGAUGUGAAAUCCCCGGGCUCAACCUGGGAACUGCAUUCGAAACUGGCAGGCUAGAGUCU